UAACUGACGAGUUUGAUCAUGGCUCAGAUUGAACGCUGUCGAGCAGGCUUAACACAUGGCAAGUCGAGCGGAGAUUAGGUGCUUGCACCUUAUCUUAGCGGCAAACGGUUGAGUAAUGCUUAGGAAUCUGCCUAUUAGUGGGGGACAACAUUCCGAAAGGAAUGGUAAUACCGCAUACGUCCUACGGGAGAAAGCAGGGGAUCUUCGAACCUUGUCCUCAUAGAUGAGCCUAAGUCUGAUUAGCUAGUUGGUGGGGUAAAGGCCUACCAAGGCGACGAUCUGUAGCGGGUCUGAGAGGAUGAUCCGCCACACUGGGACUGAGACACGGCCCAGACUCCUACGGGAGGCAGCAGUGGGGCCUAUUGGACAAUGGGGGGAACCCUGGACAACGGUGCGGAGCGGGGCAAAAGUAGCUUGCUACGUUACCUAGCAGCGGACGGUUGAGUAAUGGUUAGGAAUCUCCCUGGAUAGUGGACGUUACUCGCAGAAUAAGCACCGGCUAACUCUGUGCCAGCAGCCGCGGUAAUACAGAGGGUGCGAGCGUUAAUCGGAUUUACUGGGCGUAAAGCGUGCGUAGGCGGCUCCUUAAGUCGGAUGUGAAAUCGGCGUCAGCUUAACUUGGGAAUUGCAUUCGAUACUGGGAAGCUAGAGUAUGGGAGAGGAUGGUAGAAUUGCAGGUGUAGUGA
RNAcentral lists this ribosomal RNA (686 nucleotides) under Acinetobacter junii. Its description in RNAcentral is "bacterial SSU rRNA". It matches the Rfam family "Bacterial small subunit ribosomal RNA", at positions 1 to 681 of the family's 1533-position model. The record is from RNAcentral. Lineage: Bacteria; Pseudomonadati; Pseudomonadota; Gammaproteobacteria; Moraxellales; Moraxellaceae.